RNAcentral lists this ribosomal RNA (259 nucleotides) under uncultured bacterium. RNAcentral's name for it is "partial 16S ribosomal RNA". It matches the Rfam family "Bacterial small subunit ribosomal RNA", at positions 1244 to 1500 of the family's 1533-position model. The record is from RNAcentral.
GGGAAGCGAAACCGCGAGGUGGGAGCAGAACCCAAAAAAAGUAAGUCCCAGUUCGGAUUGAAGGCUGAAAUUCGCCUUCAUGAAGCCGGAAUUGCUAGUAAUGGCAGGUCAGCAUACUGCCGUGAAUACGUUCCCGGGCCUUGUACACACCGCCCGUCACACCAUGAGAGUUGGGAAUACCCGAAGCCUGUGAGCUAACUUUUAGAGGCAGCAGUCGAAGGUAGAAUCAAUGAUUGGGGUGAAGUCGUAACAAGGUAGC